Molecule: RNA transcript, 1666 nt
Organism: Maniola jurtina (meadow brown)
Lineage: Eukaryota; Metazoa; Arthropoda; Insecta; Lepidoptera; Nymphalidae
Gene: shf
Gene name: protein shifted
Exons: 9
Source: RefSeq, a predicted model, not a curated record
UCUGAAUCGCUGUGGAAGCGAGACGCGUUAUUUUAAAGUUAAAAGUUUCAUCUCGUUAACAGUUUUGCGUUGAGUGUUCUCGGUUGGUGCCUGUGAAGUGCAUUUUGGAAACAUGAUCGCGUGAUUUGUGACUCAAACCCUAUAAUUAUCUUAAAGACUUAGCAGAAUGCGGUCUUCAGCGUCUUUCGCGGCGCGCGUGUUCGCAGGAGUGGCCUUGGCGUUGUCGGUGGCGGCGCGCGUGGGCCACGGCCGCCGCGACUACAAGGACUCCGAGCGCCUCAACGCGGACAUCUCGCUGUGGAUCGACGAGCGACAAGUGAGGAUGUUCAGUGGUAUAUCAAUGCAAGUGUUCGCCAUAGUAAACGGGAAUAUAUCGCCCUACAUCCUGGAUCCCAACUUUUCGCACAAACUGCCCAUCAUCCCCUCAGAAGUGGGCUAUGUGAACUUCACGUGGCGGUCGAAGAAGCGGUACUAUUAUGACUUCGACACGCUAACGUCUUCGGACCCCAAGGUCUUAAAGCCGCCGUUACUAUCCAUAAAGACUAAGGGGAGGGUGCCCAAAACUCCUAAAGAAUUCAGCAUAUUUUUGCCAUGCAUGGGCAACGUGAGCGGCGUGGCCACGUUCGAGAUCGGCCUGGAGCUCAAGAACCACCGCGGCAACCCUCUCAAGGGCACCCCCCUAAGGUUAAACCUAAAGAAGGAGUGCGCACAGAGAGGUGUGUAUUUAGAAAGGACAGGUCCCGAUCCGGAAUGUGAUAAAAAGUGUGCGAACCAAGGCUGGUGUAAUAGCGAGAAAAUAUGCCAAUGCCCCGAGGGAUACAUGGGGCAACACUGUCGCACCGCGUUAUGUUAUCCCCAAUGUAUGAACGGGGGCAAUUGUACCGCGCCUGGAGUGUGCUCGUGCCCGCCUGGGUAUCAGGGACGACACUGCGAAGGAGGAAUAUGUUCACAGAAAUGUUUAAAUGGGGGCAAGUGUAUACAGAAGGAUACGUGCGAAUGCCCUAAAGGGUAUUUCGGUCGUCGGUGUGAAUUUUCAAAAUGCGUGAUCCCCUGUCUAAACGGGGGUAGGUGUAAAGGAGUGAACAAGUGCCGCUGCCCCGCGGGCUCGGGAGGCAACCACUGCGAGGUGGGGCGGCGGGCGGGCGAGUGCGUGCGCGCUUGCAGGCACGGCGUGUGUCGCGCCGGCGCGUGUCGCUGCGAGCCCGGCUGGCGCGGCCGCUACUGCCAUCGCACAUACGGUGCGUAUAUCCUGACACAGUGGUUGUAAUAAGGCGGUGGAACAAGUGCCGCUGCCCCGCGGGCUCGGGAGGCAACCACUGCGAGGUGGGGCGGCGGGCGGGCGAGUGCGUGCGCGCUUGCAGGCACGGCGUGUGUCGCGCCGGCGCGUGUCGCUGCGAGCCCGGCUGGCGCGGCCGCUACUGCCAUCGCACAUACGGAUCAUCAGAGGAAUCGGGAGAGUUUAAGAGGCCACGAUGAAAUGCAAUACACUUGUAGAAGCAGAACAAUCUACUUAAUAACUAACUUGUGAUUUAAUUAAUUUUAUUUUUAUUAAGUUUUAUACAUAUUAUGUAUUAAUUACUAAAUUAGUCAUUUAGCUUGUAAGGUUAGAUUUUAUUUAAAAUUAUAAAUAUAAAUUACUUACUUAAAUAUAAGGUGACAAAUUUUG